This is a long non-coding RNA of Alosa sapidissima (American shad), 1116 nucleotides long. RefSeq lists it as uncharacterized. The transcript is spliced from 3 exons. The record is from RefSeq and is a predicted model, not a curated record. Lineage: Eukaryota; Metazoa; Chordata; Actinopteri; Clupeiformes; Clupeidae.
AAUACAACUUGCCUUUAGUACUGCCAAAUAACUUUUCUGACUAAACAGAACUCAAAUAAUCAAAUAGUGUAGUAAAACUCAUUAUAACAAGUUUUUACAACUAAUUUGGGAAUUUCACCUAACAAACUUAAGAAACUGAGUUGACUCAACUUGCAUAAUUAAGUAUCUAUAAGAGAGAAGUUUCCCAAAGUUCACUGAACUUCUUAGUCAAGUUGGAGCAAGCGCAUUGUUUCCUAACGUAUCAAGGCGACCUGUGGGCUGCAGCUUGAAUUUGUCAGGAGGACAGAAGCCAGUCACCUUCCCUACCUGUAUGCAGCGUGGAGCAAAUGACAACAGCAUUGUCAAAGACUCUUCUGUUGCAAUGCAAUGUAAGGAGUGUCCAUUUUCUCACCGGGAUGUAGAGACCCUCCUGACCUAUUGCAGGCUUCAUAAUGGUCACCAGGGGAAAAGCUGGCUCUGCCUCCACCCCAAGUGCAUGUGCAUCUUUAAGACUUCAGGUGAUGGGCUUCUCCUCACCUCUGCUGGAGAGGGUACAUUCAAGCCCCCUCUCUGGUGCAGCCCUGUUUUGUCGUUACCGACACCAGCAAGACCUAUGCCAGCCUUAAGACCAGGAUGAGCUGAUGCUGCCUCCCCUGGCCGAGCCUCCUCUCUCACCUUUUCCUCUGCUUUCCUGAUAUCAGCCAUCACUAAAGCCAUGGGGGUUCUGUAGCCAGGUGAAUGUAAACGAAGGAAAGCCCGGACAAGCAAGACUGACAAGUAGGUGGGCCUAGGCCUGUCCUGGCCCGUCUGUGGCUACGCCUAUGUCACCAGGGGCCUCAUGUAUAAAGACUUGCGUGGAAUUCCUACCAAAAACACAGCGUAGCCUACGCGAAAACCUGGUUUUAGAUUGGAAAGUUGUGUUUUAUUUUUAUAAUCUUUGUUCAGUGAACACAUACAACCGUCAGUUUGUUAGUUAACAGACAUUUUGUGAAUAUGACGCUCAGGCCUAUAAACUAUAAGUUUACCUGCAAACACCCUUCUAGUUGUGGAAGUAGAUAGUGCAGUGGUCACAGACAUGGUUUAGUAUGUGGGAGACCGAGGUUUGAUUCCCGUAUGAUGCAUUUUGGCAGAGUGAGU